CGUAGGGUGCGAGCGUUAAUCGGAAUUACUGGGCGUAAAGCGUGCGCAGGCGGUUUUGUAAGACAGAUGUGAAAUCCCCGGGCUCAACCUGGGACCUGCACUUGUGACUGCAAGGCUAGAGUACGGUAGAGGGGGAUGGAAUUCCGCGUGUAGCAGUGAAAUGCGUAGAUAUGCGGAAGAACACCGAUGGCGAAGGCAAUCCCCUGGACCUGUACUGACGUUCAUGCACGAAAGCGUGGGGAGCAAACAGGAUUAGAUACCCUGGUAGUCCACGCCCUAAACGAUGUCAACUGGUUGUUGGGUCUUUACUGACUCAGUAACGAAGCUAACGCGUGAAGUUGACCGGCCUGGGGAGUACGGCCGCAAAGGUUG
RNAcentral lists this ribosomal RNA (372 nucleotides) under uncultured organism. Its description in RNAcentral is "bacterial SSU rRNA". It matches the Rfam family "Bacterial small subunit ribosomal RNA", at positions 526 to 896 of the family's 1533-position model. The record is from RNAcentral.